This 87-nucleotide non-coding RNA is filed under the name Pseudomonas baetica. Lineage: Bacteria; Pseudomonadati; Pseudomonadota; Gammaproteobacteria; Pseudomonadales; Pseudomonadaceae. The record is from RNAcentral.
GUGGGAGGGGGCUUGCUCCCGAAGGCGGCAUGUCAUUCAGCAUUUAUUUAGCUGAUACACCGCAUUCGGGAGCAAGCCCCCUCCCAC